UACGUAGGAUCCGAGCGUUAUCCGGAUUUAUUGGGUUUAAAGGGUGCGCAGGCGGGAGAUUAAGUCGGCGGUGAAAUUUUGCAGCUCAACUGUAAAAGUGCCUUCGAAACUGGUUUCCUUGAGUGUAGAUGAAGUAGGCGGAAUUUGUGGUGUAGCGGUGAAAUGCUUAGAUAUGACGCAGAACUCCGAUUGCGAAGGCAGCUUACUGGGAUGCAACUGACGCUGAGGCACGAAAGCGUGGGUAUCAAACAGGAUUAGAUACCCUGGUA
RNAcentral lists this ribosomal RNA (269 nucleotides) under uncultured prokaryote. RNAcentral describes it as "partial 16S ribosomal RNA". It matches the Rfam family "Bacterial small subunit ribosomal RNA", at positions 524 to 792 of the family's 1533-position model. The record is from RNAcentral.